Non-coding RNA from Triticum urartu, 784 nucleotides. The record is from RefSeq and is a predicted model, not a curated record. NCBI's taxonomy places the organism in Eukaryota, Viridiplantae, Streptophyta, Magnoliopsida, Poales, Poaceae.
UAUCAGUUGUAGUAACAUUUCAAUCUGCUGUGUGCUGCUAGCCUCGCAAGGAAGGAAGCACCAGCGUCGAGGCUAGCGAGCCUCGCUCGGAGGAGACACGCUUGGCCCAGCCGGGAGGAGACGCCGGCAAGCCUCGCGCGGAGGAGACCCACUCCUCCCCGGCGGGAGGAUACGUCGGCAAGCCUCGCGCUGAGCCCUCCGGAGGGAGCGACAGCGACAGCCGCCCCCAUCUGAAUGUGAAGAGGAGUCUCUCGCCUUCACCUGGCGAGUCCCUCCAAAAGGAGAAGAAGAUGCAGUUAGGGGCCACGACGUCCACCGAGCCCUCACCAGAGGAGCCCGCUGAGGAGACCCAUGCGCCCCUGUCGAGCCCUGAGGGGCGUGAGGAGAUGGCCCGCCAUGUUGAGACGGCAACGGGGCAGACGGUGACCGAAGAUGAUUGUGUGACUUCCCAGCCGCACGAAGACUUGCCUCCCCCAGCUGGGAGGAACGAGCUUCGCAAGGGAAGGGGGCCUCCGGAGGUGAGGAGGUGCCUCUAAAGGCGCGACGAGCCCCCAGCACAAGCCCACAGACGUGAAAUAACAUCAGGGUGUCAGCGAAAGCACAGACGUGAAAUAACAAUUUUGCAUCUGAUAGUAGGGUACUUUUACUAGUCAAAAAGGCCAAAACAAUUUUCAGCCAGGGUACUUCCACAUCUCAGAAUCACAUUUGUCUUCCCCAAUAGAGAACUCAAGAAAGACCAUUGGAUUAGUCAUUCAAUCGAUACGUGCUUCCAUAUCCUGAUGCA